UACAGAGGUCCCAAGCGUUGUUCGGAUUCACUGGGCGUAAAGGGUGCGUAGGUGGUGAGGUAAGUCGGAUGUGAAAUCUCCGAGCUCAACUCGGAAAUGGCAUUGGAAACUACCUUGCUCGAGGGUUGGAGGGGGGACUGGAAUGCUUGGUGUAGCAGUGAAAUGCGUAGAUAUCAUGAGGAACACCGGUGGCGAAAGCGGAUACCUGGAAGAUUCCUGACUCUGAAACACGAAAGCUAGGGGAGCAAACGGG
RNAcentral lists this ribosomal RNA (253 nucleotides) under uncultured bacterium. RNAcentral's name for it is "partial 16S ribosomal RNA". It matches the Rfam family "Bacterial small subunit ribosomal RNA", at positions 524 to 776 of the family's 1533-position model. The record is from RNAcentral.